UUCGCUGGCGGGUGCUCAACAUGCAGUCGAACGAGAAAGUCCCCUUCGGGGGAUAAGUAAAGUGGCGCACGGGUGAGUAACACGUAGGUAAUCUACCUUCGGGUGGGGAAUAACCCAGGAAACUUGGGCUAACACCGCAUAAUGCAGCGGCACCACAUGGUGACAGUUGUUAAAGCGGGGGAUUUUAGGACCUCGCGCCUGAAGAGGAGCCUGCGGCGGAUUAGCUAGUUGGUGAGGUAACGGCUCACCAAGGUGACGAUCCGUAGCCGGCCUGAGAGGGCGGUCGGCCACACUGACACUGACAUACGGGUCAGACUCCUACGGGAGGCAGCAGUCGGGAAUUUUGGGCAAUGGGCGAAAGCCUGACCCAGCAACGCCGCGUGAAGGAUGAAAUCCCUCGGGAUGUAAACUUCGCAAGAAUGGGAAGAAUUAGUAGGGGUUAAUACCCCCUAUGAUGACGGUACCAUUUGUAAGCUCCGGCUAACUCCGUGCCAGCAGCCGCGGUAAUAC
RNAcentral lists this ribosomal RNA (510 nucleotides) under uncultured bacterium. Its description in RNAcentral is "bacterial SSU rRNA". It matches the Rfam family "Bacterial small subunit ribosomal RNA", at positions 34 to 526 of the family's 1533-position model. The record is from RNAcentral.